This 429-nucleotide ribosomal RNA is filed under the name Gemmatimonadota bacterium. Its description in RNAcentral is "Gemmatimonadetes bacterium partial 16S ribosomal RNA". It matches the Rfam family "Bacterial small subunit ribosomal RNA", at positions 355 to 776 of the family's 1533-position model. Lineage: Bacteria; Pseudomonadati; Gemmatimonadota. The record is from RNAcentral.
UAGGGAAUCUUCGGCAAUGGACGAAAGUCUGACCGAGCAACGCCGCGUGAGUGAAGAAGGUUUUCGGAUCGUAAAACUCUGUUGUUAGAGAAGAACAAGGACGUUAGUAACUGAACGUCCCCUGACGGUAUCUAACCAGAAAGCCACGGCUAACUACGUGCCAGCAGCCGCGGUAAUACGUAGGUGGCAAGCGUUGUCCGGAUUUAUUGGGCGUAAAGCGAGCGCAGGCGGUUUCUUAAGUCUGAUGUGAAAGCCCCCGGCUCAACCGGGGAGGGUCAUUAGAAACUGGGAGACUUGAGUGCAGAAGAGGAGAGUGGAAUUCCAUGUGUAGCGGUGAAAUUCGUAGAUAUAUGGAGGAACACCAGUGGCGAAGGCGGCUCUCUGGUCUGUAACUGACGCUGAGGCUCGAAAGCGUGGGGAGCAAACAGG